AUGAAGCCCGCUGGGAGUUGGUCUCCAGGAAGGGGUUCCUGCCAAGGCCCCGUGCCGGCGUUUGCUCCUGGGCGCCGGAGAGUGAGGCGCAGAGCUGCGGUGUGGCUCCGGCGCUCGGGCAGCUGCUGGCCUGAGCGGGUCCCCGCGCCCGGACACGGACGAGGGAGGGGCCUGGCGCCACGUGUGCAGCCGCGGGCCCAGGUGUGGGGGCGCUGCUCUCGCUGUGGUGCUGUGUUCAUUAAGAGAGGGCUGAGGUGGCGGCUGCUGCUUUGGGAACCUUGGCCUCUCAAAGCCCUUUGCCACGGACUUGCUCUCGGUCAACGCAUAGUACGCGCCCGGGAGGCGCCGGGGGCGGCUGCGGGGCUCGGUCCUGGCGUAGUCCUGGGACUGAGCCGAAGGGGAGGCGUCUGCAGGUGUGUGACCGGAGACCCAAGGGCGCCUAGCAGCCGGCCCCGCUCCUCCUCCUCCGUCCGCUCGCCAAGGUGUCCCUCAGACAGUGCCCAGGGCCCCUGGCAGCUCUCCGCAGGCUGCCUCCCUCCCUGGGGUCAGGCUCUGUCGCUGGCCUCAGGAGGCUCACCUGGCUGCGGGCACGCCCCUCCUCCGGGCCGGGAGGCUGGUUGUCCACCGUCCGGAUGGACUUCCCCGGCUGCCUCCGCCCCACCUCGUUUACCACCGGCCCCCUGGGGCUGAGCGACGGCCCCGACCUGUCGUUCAUGUGCAGCUGGAGAGACGCGCUGACCCUGCCGGAGCCCCAGCCCCAGGACGCCAAGGUGAGGAGGGGCAGGAGACAGCCGGGACUCUGGCCGGGUCCUCGGAGUCCCGAGCUGGCUGGUGGGGCUGAGCCCUCGGGGGCUCAUCGGUCAGGAGAGACGGUGUAGCAGGGCAGGCUCAGGGUGGCCCCCCGCGAGGGCCCCUCCCCCUACCGAGUGUUUGUGCUGAGCUGUCUCGGGCUGGCGGGCGGCGGAGGGUCCUCUGGGGCUCCCGGAGCAGGUGACGAGGUCUCCUGAGCGGAGGGCAGAGGAAGCGGGACUCGGAGCGGCCUGUGCGGAAGGGGGCUUCCCUGCUGGGUCAGGGUCACAGGCGCGCAGUCUAGAGCCGGCUGUUGGCUUCCACGUCCCCGCUCCUCGCCGCGCUGACAGCUGGGCUCCCUGUGGCUCCGUCUCUUCAGU
This 1169-nucleotide long non-coding RNA is filed under the name Oryctolagus cuniculus (rabbit). RNAcentral describes it as "lncRNA (ENSOCUG00000036020.1)". The record is from RNAcentral. Lineage: Eukaryota; Metazoa; Chordata; Mammalia; Lagomorpha; Leporidae.